CAGAGCUUUAGGCAUUUUCAUUUUUUUGCCACCAACAAAAUUGCACAGGUACAGCACCCCCAUAUUUGCAAUAUCCUGCAACCAUAUAAUUGCAUCAGUAUAUCCACAAGAACAAAAAAGGAGAUCAAAUGAUAACAACUACUAAUGCAAUUAAAAUGCAUACAAUAAUCCACAGAAAACCAUUGCUGCACCAAUAGUGUAUUAAAAAACACACUAUCAGACCAUUUGGCAUUGAUGUUGAAAACUGCUUCUUCAAAAAUAACCUUUUUGGAUGUUGGAAAAAAGCAGUUUCAAACUGAUAUUUAAAACAAUUUUUAAUUGCCUCUAAUCAACAUAUUCAAGGUGAUGCUUUCUCAACAGCAAGUCUAACAACAAUGCUAGAUCUUAUAUAGGUUUUUCUUAAAAAAAAUAUACAUAUAUAUGUAUAUGCUUGACCUAUCUAUCAAACAAACACGAAAUAUGUUUUCAAGAAAAUGCUUACUUGACUAUCUACAGAACAAUUUUUUAAUUCAAAUUUCAAAAAAAGAAUGGAACAAACAAAGAUAUAUUUAAGCAACAUAUCCAGUAAAUGCAAACUUCUUCCAGUUAUUAAAGCAAAACAGAAAUGAAUAACAGUGUUUUGUACCAAGAAUACCCAAAGAGCUACUUGUUUAUCACUCAUGUAAAGGUCAUAGUUAUUAAGGCACAGAUGCACUAAGGUGCUAAGGGGUCGUAGAGGCUAAGCGGCAAGCGCGAGGCACAGGGAACAUGCUUGAGAGAGAGGUAAGGACAAAUAAAAAAAUAAAUAAAAUUAAUAUCUAAUAUUCAUAACAAAUUAAUAUAUUAGAACUAUUUAACCAAAUUUUAGAAAGUUAAUCACCAAAGCAUUAAUAUCAAGCCAACAAAUCAUGAUGGAUAGGAACACAAAACAAACAUCAUUAGGAGAAAAUUUGACAAAAUGUAAUUAAAUUCCUCAUUGCCUAUGCAGAAGUGAAGAAAAGAUGUCUGUAGCAUGUAAUGAUGUUUCUUAGCUUGGUUAAAGCUUGAACAUAUGAGCUCUAAUUUUCAAAAUUUCUAUUCAAAAAACUCUAAAAUUCUAUCAUAACAUAUGUCAUAUUCCCUCUCCAACACCCCCCACCCCUUAAAGUAAAUAAAUAGGCAGGCCUACGGAAAUCUUUCUACAGAUAUAUAUUUUCCAGUGCCAGAAAUAUUUUUUGGAAAUGCAAGACAGAAAAAUAAAUGGCAUAAAAGUCAUUACCUGCUUCUCCUCUAAAGAACCUAUCUUCCCAUCCUGCAACAAGAAGAAAUUAACAGAUUAUAAUAAAUUCAACAAAAGGAAAAGGAGGAAAUGGAGAAGAAAAAGGGAAGAUAGAAUGUAGCUACUAAUGAGAUUGCAAAUAAUAGACCAUUUUAAACUUUCAUUACUAUUGAAAUCUUUGUUCUUUAGAAAAGUUGAAAAUAAAAACUCAUGAUAAAGACAACCAACGUUUUCAGUACAAUCGCCACAAAUGAAGUGGAACUUUCAAUAAAAUGAAUCUGCUUUCAGUAAAAGACAUUAGGGGGAUUAAAAUAAAUUAGAAGACAAGUCACCAACAGCAGCCACCAGUGCUAAAAAGACAACAAGUUCCCCGUUGCUACCUAUGUAUUUGGACAAAACUG
This 1638-nucleotide unclassified non-coding RNA is filed under the name Hevea brasiliensis (rubber tree). The record is from RNAcentral. Lineage: Eukaryota; Viridiplantae; Streptophyta; Magnoliopsida; Malpighiales; Euphorbiaceae.